CACCUUUGUUGCUUUGGCGGGCCCGCCUCGGCCACCGGCUCCGGCUGGUGAGCGCCCGCCAGAGGACCCCAAACUCUGAAAUUUAGUGUCGUCUGAGUACUAUAUAAUAGUUAAAACUUUCAACAACGGAUCUCUUGGUUCUGGCAUCGAUGAAGAACGCAGCGAAAUGCGAUAAGUAAUGUGAAUUGCAGAAUUCAGUGAAUCAUCGAAUCUUUGAACGCACAUUGCGCCCCUUGGUAUUCCGGGGGGCAUGCCUGUUCGAGCGUCAUUACAACCCUCAAGCUCUGCUUGGUAUUGGGCGUCCCCGGCGACGGGGUGCCCUAAAAUCAGUGGCGGUGCCGUCUGGCUCUAAGCGUAGUAAAUCUCUCGCUCUGGAUGCCCGGUGGAUGCUCGCCAGAACCCCCCAUUUUUUACAGGUUGACCU
Molecule: ribosomal RNA, 424 nt
Filed under: Phlyctema vagabunda
Lineage: Eukaryota; Fungi; Ascomycota; Leotiomycetes; Helotiales; Dermateaceae
Also listed under: 1 other name
Description: eukaryotic LSU rRNA
Rfam family: 5.8S ribosomal RNA (bases 115-268)
Source: RNAcentral